GACGAACGCUGGCGGCGUGCUUAACACAUGCAAGUCGAACGGAGUGGCGAACGGGUGAGUAACAAGUGGGUGACCUGCCCUGCACUUCGGGAUAAGCCUGGGAAACUGGGUCUAAUACCGGAGAGUGUGGGAUGGGCCCGCGGCCUAUCCGCUUGUUGGUGGGGUAAUGGCCUACCAAGGCGGCGACGGGUAGCCGGCCUGAGAGGGUGGACGGCCACAUUGCGACUGAGACACGGCCCAGACUUCUACGGGAGGCAGCAGUGGGGAAUAUUGCACCAUGGGCGGAAGCCUGAUGCAGCGACGUCGCGUGGGGGAUGACGGCCUUCGGGUUGUAAACUCCUUUCACCAUCGACGCGGUAGAGGGAGAAGAAGCACCGGCUAACUACGUGCGAGCAGCCGCGGUAAUUC
Molecule: ribosomal RNA, 408 nt
Filed under: uncultured bacterium
Lineage: Bacteria
Description: partial 16S ribosomal RNA
Rfam family: Bacterial small subunit ribosomal RNA
Source: RNAcentral